This 234-nucleotide ribosomal RNA is filed under the name uncultured Lactobacillus sp. Its description in RNAcentral is "partial 16S ribosomal RNA". It matches the Rfam family "Bacterial small subunit ribosomal RNA", at positions 127 to 355 of the family's 1533-position model. Lineage: Bacteria; Bacillati; Bacillota; Bacilli; Lactobacillales; Lactobacillaceae. The record is from RNAcentral.
AGCCCAAGAGAUCGGGAUAACACCUGGAAACAGAUGCUAAUACCGGAUAACAACAGAUGAUGCCUAUCAACUGUUUAAAAGAUGGUUCUGCUAUCACUCUUGGAUGGACCUGNGGUGCAUUAGCUAGUUGGUAGGGUAACGGCCUACCAAGGCGAUGAUGCAUAGCCGAGUUGAGAGACUGAUCGGCCACAUUGGGACUGAGACACGGCCCAAACUCCUACGGGAGGCAGCAGC